This is a ribosomal RNA of Denticeps clupeoides (denticle herring), 119 nucleotides long. The record is from Ensembl. Lineage: Eukaryota; Metazoa; Chordata; Actinopteri; Clupeiformes; Denticipitidae.
GUGUACAGACAAACCAGCUGAAGAAUGCCCAAUCUUGUCUGAUCUCAGAAGCUAAGAACGCUUGGGCCUGGUUAGUACUUGGAUGGGAGACUACCUGGGAAUACCAGGUGCUGUAAGCU